UACGUAGGUGGCAAGCGUUGUCCGGAUUUACUGGGCGUAAAGAGCGCGCAGGCGGUCGAUUUAGUCGCGUGUGAAAGCCCCCGGCUCAACUGGGGAGGGUCACGGCGAUACUGAUCGACUCGAAGGCAGGAGAGGGUAGUGGAAUUCCCGGUGUAGUGGUGAAAUGCGUAGAGAUCCGGAGGAACACCGACGGCGUAGGCAGCGCCCUGGCCGUUUUACCUGACGCUGAAGCACGAAAGCUGGGGGAGCGAACAGG
Molecule: ribosomal RNA, 256 nt
Filed under: uncultured bacterium
Lineage: Bacteria
Description: partial 16S ribosomal RNA
Rfam family: Bacterial small subunit ribosomal RNA
Source: RNAcentral